This is a non-coding RNA of Camellia sinensis, 390 nucleotides long. The record is from RefSeq and is a predicted model, not a curated record. Lineage: Eukaryota; Viridiplantae; Streptophyta; Magnoliopsida; Ericales; Theaceae.
GAUUGUUGUUCAUCGAAGUUUUGCAGUAGUAGAUAAUCUUGGUGAAGUUUCUGCAAACACACAGAUUCAAACAGUGUGCUUCGAUAGCCUUGGUCUUAUGCUUGCGCCUUGAACAUUUUGUUCAGAAACAAUCUAAGGUUGCAAGCAAGUUUGCCUUUUGUUGUGCCCCCAAUCUUCUCAGCAAUCGACCUCAUUGGAGUUUAUCAAGGUUUGAAGCAUGUUCAUCUGCAGACAUUAACUAAGGUUGGUCUUUUAUGCUUGUACUAAACUAACAGUCAUUCUAUUGACAUUAUUGGGUGUGUAUAUGAGAACUUCAAUAAAGGUGUUGCUCACAUAUUGAGACUACUUUGUGUUUUUAAAGAAUGUAAAUUUUGCUCCCUAUUUGAUGAG